RNAcentral lists this ribosomal RNA (1483 nucleotides) under Streptococcus thermophilus. RNAcentral's name for it is "bacterial SSU rRNA". It matches the Rfam family "Bacterial small subunit ribosomal RNA". Lineage: Bacteria; Bacillati; Bacillota; Bacilli; Lactobacillales; Streptococcaceae. The record is from RNAcentral.
GGCUAGGACGAACGCUGGCGGCGUGCCUAAUACAUGCAAGUAGAACGCUGAAGAGAGGAGCUUGCUCUUCUUGGAUGAGUUGCGAACGGGUGAGUAACGCGUAGGUAACCUGCCUUGUAGCGGGGGAUAACUAUUGGAAACGAUAGCUAAUACCGCAUAACAAUGGAUGACACAUGUCAUUUAUUUGAAAGGGGCAAUUGCUCCACUACAAGAUGGACCUGCGUUGUAUUAGCUAGUAGGUGAGGUAAUGGCUCACCUAGGCGACGAUACAUAGCCGACCUGAGAGGGUGAUCGGCCACACUGGGACUGAGACACGGCCCAGACUCCUACGGGAGGCAGCAGUAGGGAAUCUUCGGCAAUGGGGGCAACCCUGACCGAGCAACGCCGCGUGAGUGAAGAAGGUUUUCGGAUCGUAAAGCUCUGUUGUAAGUCAAGAACGGGUGUGAGAGUGGAAAGUUCACACUGUGACGGUAGCUUACCAGAAAGGGACGGCUAACUACGUGCCAGCAGCCGCGGUAAUACGUAGGUCCCGAGCGUUGUCCGGAUUUAUUGGGCGUAAAGCGAGCGCAGGCGGUUUGAUAAGUCUGAAGUUAAAGGCUGUGGCUCAACCAUAGUUCGCUUUGGAAACUGUCAAACUUGAGUGCAGAAGGGGAGAGUGGAAUUCCAUGUGUAGCGGUGAAAUGCGUAGAUAUAUGGAGGAACACCGGUGGCGAAAGCGGCUCUCUGGUCUGUAACUGACGCUGAGGCUCGAAAGCGUGGGGAGCGAACAGGAUUAGAUACCCUGGUAGUCCACGCCGUAAACGAUGAGUGCUAGGUGUUGGAUCCUUUCCGGGAUUCAGUGCCGCAGCUAACGCAUUAAGCACUCCGCCUGGGGAGUACGACCGCAAGGUUGAAACUCAAAGGAAUUGACGGGGGCCCGCACAAGCGGUGGAGCAUGUGGUUUAAUUCGAAGCAACGCGAAGAACCUUACCAGGUCUUGACAUCCCGAUGCUAUUUCUAGAGAUAGAAAGUUACUUCGGUACAUCGGUGACAGGUGGUGCAUGGUUGUCGUCAGCUCGUGUCGUGAGAUGUUGGGUUAAGUCCCGCAACGAGCGCAACCCCUAUUGUUAGUUGCCAUCAUUCAGUUGGGCACUCUAGCGAGACUGCCGGUAAUAAACCGGAGGAAGGUGGGGAUGACGUCAAAUCAUCAUGCCCCUUAUGACCUGGGCUACACACGUGCUACAAUGGUUGGUACAACGAGUUGCGAGUCGGUGACGGCGAGCUAAUCUCUUAAAGCCAAUCUCAGUUCGGAUUGUAGGCUGCAACUCGCCUACAUGAAGUCGGAAUCGCUAGUAAUCGCGGAUCAGCACGCCGCGGUGAAUACGUUCCCGGGCCUUGUACACACCGCCCGUCACACCACGAGAGUUUGUAACACCCGAAGUCGGUGAGGUAACCUUUUGGAGCCAGCCGCCUAAGGUGGGACAGAUGAUUGGGGUGAAGUCGA